GUCUUCCUUUACAAUUAGUGAUUAUUGAGGAUCUUUCCUUGUUUAGGUCAGAUGAUCUCCUUCUGAAAUCUUAAAUAGGCAUAGAGGUUUCUGCAAAGUCAGCACCAACAACCAGAACAAUUUGAUGAAGAAGAUAUGGCCCAGGAUACCCUGACUGAGGUACUACUUCCAAAGAAGGACUCCUAUGGAGUUAAAAGUCAAAAAUUAGGUACCUAUAAAACACCCUGCCAUUUGACUAAAUGUAUGACUUGCUAUCAAGGAGAUGGAGAACUGUGUGCAGAGAGACAGACUAAAAAGAGAAGGUGGAUGUGCUUAUAGAAAAAAAUCUGUGAAGAUUGGGUGAAAGACAGGGCUGAGGAAAGAACGGUGUGAAAAGGCUUCUUCCUAGCAAUAAUUUCUUUUAAAAAAAAUGUACCCAGGGAUGGAGGUGUAGCUCAGUGGUAGAGCACAUGCUGAGCAUUACAAUACACUGGGUUCAGUCCCCAGCACCCCCCCAAAAAAAAAAUUCAGUAUCCUGUAUUCACUGUGAGGAAUAUGUAAGAUAUGUAAGUCUUCCUUUUAAAAAGUACAAAUCAGCUGUGGUGGUACAUGCUGGUAUACCCACAUACUUGGGAGGCUGGGGCUGGAGCAUUACUUGAGCCUACAAGUUCAAGACCAGCCUGGGUCACAGUGUGAAACCACAUCUCCAAACAAACAAACAAAAAACUAGGGAAACAGAUGUACGCACCAAUGCUAGUUGCUAUAGCUUGAAUUUAAUGGCACCCAUGGGCUCAAAUGUUGAAAGCUUUUUCCCUGGCCCAUGAAAAACUAUUGAGAAUCUGUAAGAGGUGGGACUUACUGGAAGGAAGUUAGGUCAUAGGGAAAUAACCCUUGGCUCCUUCCUGUCUCUAUUUUCUGGUCAUCAUAAGGUAAAUAAGCUUUCUCUAUCAUCUACUCUUGCCAUUACAUGCUACACUGCCACAGGCCCAAAGCAAUAUGGCCAAGCAACCAUAAUCUCAAGAAACUAUAAUCCAAAAUAAACCUUUCCUUUAUCAAGUUGGCUCUCUUGAGUAUUUUGUUACAGUAGUGGAAAGCUCACCAAUACACCAGUCAAUAUAAAGUAGAAUGGGACAAAGAGGAAGCUGAAGAGAAAGA
Molecule: long non-coding RNA, 1134 nt
Filed under: Marmota monax (woodchuck)
Lineage: Eukaryota; Metazoa; Chordata; Mammalia; Rodentia; Sciuridae
Rfam family: tRNA (bases 424-494)
Source: RNAcentral